Molecule: unclassified non-coding RNA, 1207 nt
Filed under: Leishmania donovani
Lineage: Eukaryota; Euglenozoa; Kinetoplastea; Trypanosomatida; Trypanosomatidae
Description: gene:unknown
Source: RNAcentral
UCACCUCCGCUACUCACUGCUCGCAUCUCACUCCUGCUCCCGAGCGCCCACAAGCACGCGUAAGCACCGCUUCCGCCCAAGCAAACGCGUUGUGCGUGCCAGCGAGUGUGUCUCCGCUCCCCCUCCCUCGUUGCUCGCCUAGUUUGUUUUAUUCUGUCUCACUCUCCCCUCUUGCGGGCCACACCUGCCACAGCUGCGGGUAGUCCAUCGUCCGCGUACGUUGGGGUGCGUGCGUGUACGCGUGCACGUGCGUCCGCUGCGUUCUAUCGUCUUACUCAUCCCACCUCCUCACACACACACACACACACACACACACACACACCAUCUACAGUGCAUCCACGCAUCCCUUUAUUCAGGUCACCAGACCCCCCUUCCGUCCGCCCCUCUAGCGAGCACGUAAGGAAUCAUAUCGCCAAUAUCGUGUCUACUGCUCCAUCUCUCGUACCGCUCCUCUCCUCGCGUGCGAGUUGCCUGUGCGUACUAGUGUGCAUCUCUGUGUCUGUGCCUACGGGACUGUGUACUCCACUCCUGCUGUGACGGUGGUGUGUGCUGUGACGUCCUCCUGCGACGCACCUUCUUCUGUUCUUUCUCGUUUCCUUGCCCUUCCUCUCCGUGCACUCUCGCUCUCCCCUCUUUCUCUUCGAGUUGAGCGGACUUCGCGUCUGUCUGCGUGCGUGUGUGUCUGCCUCUCCUCCUCUCUCUGUCGCUGCUCUUCUUGUCGUUGCUGUGGCGGCUGUGGUUUCUCGGCUCUCCCUCACACGCACAUAUCUCCCCUCCUCAUCCUCCUCCACGCAUACAGGCCCGAGGGCCUGUAUAGCUGCAUCCGAUCAGAUACCUAUUUCUCUCUCGCUCUCUCUAUAUACACGUACAUAUACAUCCUCUUGUUUCCCCUUGCCUGUGCGCCCAACCGACACAGCUUCUGUGUGGCUCCUACCCCUUCUUCUCUUCUCGUUGGGCGUGUGUGUGCCUCUCUCUCCUUGCGCGUCUAUCGACGUCUCGCUGUUGCGCUUCUUCCUGUUAUUCGUUGCGUGCGUCUUUUCGUGUCUGCCAUUGUUUGCUUGGCUGUGUGUGUGUGCGCGCCUUCCUCACCUCCCUCCCGUCCUUCCCCUCAUCUGCCGCCCUCUUUCGGUUGUCCCUCUGUUUUGGUCUUCUGGUGCGUGCGGGACUGCCGGUCUCUCACGCUGCGGCUCUCGUCCCCUCACCAUAG